Molecule: ribosomal RNA, 305 nt
Filed under: uncultured bacterium
Lineage: Bacteria
Description: bacterial SSU rRNA
Rfam family: Bacterial small subunit ribosomal RNA
Source: RNAcentral
UCCUACGGGGGGCAGCAGUGGGGAAUAUUGCACAAUGGGGGGAACCCUGAUGCAGCGACGCCGCGUGGGUGAAGGAGUAUUUCGGUAUGUAAAGCCCUAUCCGCAGGGAAGAACAAUGACGGUACCUGACUAAGAAGCACCGGCUAAAUACGUGCCAGCAGCCGCGGUAAUACGUAUGGUGCAAGCGUUAUCCGGAUUUACUGGGUGUAAAGGGAGCGUAGACGGCAGCGCAAGUCUGGAGUGAAAUGCCGGGGCUCAACCCCGGAACUGCUUUGGAAACUGUGCAGCUAGAGUGCGGGAGAGGG